Molecule: long non-coding RNA, 134 nt
Organism: Nicotiana attenuata
Lineage: Eukaryota; Viridiplantae; Streptophyta; Magnoliopsida; Solanales; Solanaceae
Exons: 2
Source: RefSeq, a predicted model, not a curated record
UCUCUUUUUGCAAGACUCAAUAACUCUUCAGCUUCUUUUCUGCGGCUGCUCCGGUCAUCACCCCACUUUGAAAGAGAAGACAUGACAAAGGGAAGUUACGAGAAGGCCAUUGUUUCACUCCAGAACCUCCUCAG